This 439-nucleotide ribosomal RNA is filed under the name uncultured bacterium. Its description in RNAcentral is "partial 16S ribosomal RNA". It matches the Rfam family "Bacterial small subunit ribosomal RNA", at positions 338 to 795 of the family's 1533-position model. The record is from RNAcentral.
CCUACGGGUGGCAGCAGUGGGGAAUAUUGCACAAUGGGGGAAACCCUGAUGCAGCAACGCCGCGUGAGUGAAGAAGUAUUUCGGUAUGUAAAGCUCUAUCAGCAGGGAAGAAAAUGACGGUACCUAAGUAAGAAGCCCCGGCUAACUACGUGCCAGCAGCCGCGGUAAUACGGAGGAUGCGAGCGUUAUCCGGAUUUAUUGGGUUUAAAGGGUGCGUAGGCGGACGCUUAAGUCAGCGGUAAAAUUGCGGGGCUCAACCUCGUCGAGCCGUUGAAACUGGGUGCCUUGAGUGGGCGAGAAGUACGCGGAAUGCGUGGUGUAGCGGUGAAAUGCAUAGAUAUCACGCAGAACUCCGAUUGCGAAGGCAGCGUACCGGCGCCCAACUGACGCUGAAGCACGAAGGCGUGGGUAUCGAACAGGAUUAGAUACCCCGGUAGUC